UCGGCUCGAAGAUGGAAUACAAAAAUAA
RNAcentral lists this small RNA (28 nucleotides) under Bombyx mori (domestic silkworm). Its description in RNAcentral is "ovarian small RNA-28985". Lineage: Eukaryota; Metazoa; Arthropoda; Insecta; Lepidoptera; Bombycidae. The record is from RNAcentral.